GAUAAUGUCAAAAACAAUUCAAUGCUUCACAUUAAACUUGUUGUAACUCACUGUGAAUUCCGUACAAAGCAAAACACUUCAACUAUAUUUUGUUUAUUGAUUGCCAAUCAUGUGGAAUAUGAUGGAUUCAUAAUAAAGGUGUUCAAUGACAGUCUAGUGAAAUAUUUUAGCUCAGUGGCCGGUGCUCUUUGUGUUCUUUUUCUGUUUUUCUAUACAUCAGUUUAUUUGUUGUCCACCCACUGUGGGUGUAAAAUGGAAAAGUUCACACUAACACCAGACACAAGUGUGAACUUCUUUAUUUACAGAAACAGAAGGGUGUGCUAUCAGUUUGUGUCAAAAAACAUUUACACAUUACUCAUUUGCCUUGAAAUGAUCAUUAACAUAUACUUUAUAAAAAGGGGAAAUUUCAAAUGAUUGGUUGUUAUAGUUCACACCAGAGAAGAUGCUGGUUUAAAAGAGGGAAAUGUUUCUGAACUUUUAUCAUAGACUCAAACCUCAGUUGUUUUUCUCCUACAUACUAAAACAGCUACACUGACAACAUAGGAAGUUCAUGUGAUCAGAGCUGAUAAAAUGAACGCUGUCCUUCUGACUAUCGUGUGCACUCUCGCACUUCUGCAUGGAUGGAAUGCAAUGGUUUACAAUCCAAGCCGAAACUCCAACUCAAGGAACAAGUACAACAAUCGCCCAUGUCAGAGGACCUGGAACAAUAAUGGAUUCAACAGAUUUGUUCAGAAGCACAUCCUUCAGCAAAACUUCAACAGAAAUUCAAAGGAGGCAUGGCAAAUGACACUGAUAUGACUCUUCAGGUACUUGGAGAAUGAAGGACUCUGCAACAGACCUCUGCAGUCCUUCAUCAAGAAGAAGGAUGAGAAACGUGUGGUGAAGAUCUGUAAUGGUUCCGGCAGGCGUGUUCGUGAUAACUUAUGCAUCAGUACCUCAACCUUUAAGAUAUAUGAUGUUGAAGUGAACACCAGCAGCUGCAGAAUUACAAGAAUUACGGAAAACACAACAAAAGUGAUAGUGGCUUGUGACAAAGUUGGAAACCAGUGUCGUCCUGUUCACUUUGAAAAAUAUGUGUUCCAGGAGCCAACAGAUGAACGCUGUCAUGGUUAGCAAAUUUUUAUUUUUUUUGCUUGGAUAAACAAUCACCUUGUGUAUUUUUGCUCUUUGCUACAUUAAAUAUUAUUAUUUGUUAUAUGUUCUUUGCUUAUCUCAUUAAAUCCUGGUCCUAUAGCAUUCAGUGAGAAAAUCAAAAAUAUGACUAUAUUCCACAUAUAAAAGGAACAGUUAAAUUUCUUAUGAAUGCACUUUCAGCUAGAGUUUAUUUGCAGCUAUACAAAGAGAGAAAUGGAUGAAAACUCAUCAUGAUACCAUCAUAAAUAAGACAAUGUAUUUUAUAAACAUGGUUUUCAUUUUAAGCUUCGUUGUGAUCCUCUCUGUUUUUAUUUGUCAGUCUUUUCCAUACUGUCCCGCAAAUAUUUUAAACCUAUUUAAUUUCUAUAUUUUAUAUGCUAACAUUAAAACUAAAUCUCUUUGGAAGUUAACAUAGUUUUGGUUUCUAUUUUAUGGCACCUAAACAACUCGCUCUGUUAUGUCAUUUUGUUAUGAAAAAUCUAAACAGUUUGAGUGAGUUGUGGGUUUUUGUUGACAUAUUUUGAGUUUUGUGGUUACUAUUGAGAAAUUGAGAUGAAGUAACAUUCAGGGAGGUAUCACCGAUACUGAUCCGAUACCGAUACUUUGUACAAAAACUUAAUAUGUUAUUGUAUUUUAGCUUCAUCAAAUUAUAGCUUCAUACUGAUUACAGGAUAUCAGACUACUUAUUCUUAUUGUUUAAUUAUGAAGAAUUAAAUAGAAAUAAAAAACCUGAAGCUGUGUGUUAAUUGAUGCUAUUUGAACACAUGUAUCUGGUCAUUUAACAUGUAUAUACUUUGCUGUGCCACACUUGGAAUUUUGGUAUGGAUCCAAUACCAAGUAAAUACAGGGCCAGUAUUGUGAAAGAUGAAUUCUCAAUUUGCAAAUUCUGAACACAUUUUAAUCACCACUAUAUCACUUUGAUUGUUACUUUCCACAAUAAUUACUUAACACAACAAAACACACCUUUGAGCUUUUCAUGUUUUCUAAAAUUGGGUGUUUGGAGACCAUAGUGCAUGUUUGAGGUUUAUUUUUUCCAAAGAAAUAGUUAACACAGUUCAGCAGGCUACAUACUGAACUUGAAUGAUAAAAGCAAGUAUUGACCCAGUCGUGCUAGUAUUGAUCUGAUACCAAUACUAGUGUUGGUAUCAAUACUACUGAUAUUUGUAUCAAUCUGCCCACCUCAGUUACCAGCCUGUUUUUCAAUUUAUUGGAUUGUAGUUGCUUUCUUUCAGGAUUUCUGCACUUUUGCAACGUUGGCUUCAAACAUAAAUAAGAGGUCAAGUUUAUAUUUAUGUGUUCUAGUCAGGCAAGAGUGCUCUUACAGGUGGUGGAUAGGAAAAUAUAUUAAAACACCACCUGUGCAUGGGAGCACAGGCUUGUAAAAGACCUUAUAGAAAAUAGUUUUAUAUGCACAAAAAUGUAUGAAUCAUAGACAGAAAUCACACAUAUAUUCGGGUAUUGUACUUGCAGUCUUAACCAUAGUCGCUGAUCAUUUAUUUUAUUUUAUUGUCAAUUUUCUCAAUCCCUGUGUCUAGACAGUAACUAGCUUUAGUUUUCAGAAAAUUGAUAUUAAUUUUUAAAGAAAAAUGAAAUAUGUCCUUAAAGUUCCACUAAGCUAUUAUUACUCCCCUCACCUUUCUAAUAUUCUAUCUGUAAAACUCAAAGCGUGAAACUGUUCUUGAAGAGGAAUUAUUAAAGAAUGAAAUCUUAUAACUAACUGUCAUGUACACACAAUACUUAGUGUUUACUAGUAUUACUGCUUCUUCCGCCCUAUCUCAUGGGAAGAAAAAAUGUUGUUGUUGUUGCUUUUUGUUUCCUGUAAAGACAAGCAUUGAAUGCUGAGUGAGUUUGCCUGGUUUCCUGUGUGAGGCACUGCCUAGAUGGUUUAAAAAUAUUCUGUAAAAAUAUUCAAAGUCGGUACGUUUUUUUAAUCAUCAUUGAAAUAUGUGUUGCUUCUCUGUGAGACAGUUGCCAGAUACCUCACUGUAAAAUCUAAUAUUGUGUUUAAUUCAAAAUGUUAAGUACACUGAACCCAGUUUUUAUCAACUUGUUAUUAGAACUCAGUUUAUGUAAGUUACCAAUACUUUUCAUUCAAAAAGCUGAUCAACUCAGUUUAUUUUUGUCUUAACUUAUAAAAAGUAAGUAAGCCAGAAGUUUUGCUUCUCAGUGCAGAAGGAUAAAACGAUAUGGUUUGAAAAUGCCACGUCACUACCGUCCUCCUCCCUCGCACAGAUCAGCCCGCAUGUUCAUGGUGCCCACAUUUUUUUCUGGAAUAUGAUGAGCAAACCUGGAGAAGCUUCAGUUCAAGAGAUUGUUGUCAUUGCAGUGAAUGUUUAUGUGAUACCGCACACCAAAGCCUUGAAAUUUCUGAUAAUGGGGAAAAAAGUGAGGGAUGGUGGAAAGAUGUUGAAAGAUCCUGAUUCUCUGCAAAGGUUUAAUAUGUUUGGAAGUAUCCUGGGGCUCAACAGGCUGUCCUCUGGCAGGGCAAGUUCUCGUGUCCUUUUACGAUGUGACGUCUCAGUCUCACAUCUACUCAUUUACUGAGUGUUCGUUUGGUGGUGAGAUCCUCCCGUACUUCAGUCCACAUCUGAAACAAAAUGAGAAAAACAGCAAUCCUUUGAUUAUCUCUGCUGUGCAAAAGUAGCAGUAAUCACAUGCACUGAAUGUGGUAAGCAAUAUGUAUGAUUGGGUGUGCAGUAACAGUUUGCUUACCUGCCCAUCAGGUAUUUCAUUGGUCAAAUGUCAACAUUUUUUACUAUAACAUGCCUUAAUGAAGAUCCUCUGACUGAGGCAUCAAUUUUAAAGUUUUAUCUUUUAUGUACUAUUUUUCUAGAUUUUAACAUUUGAAAAGUAAAAAAUAGGUCACACAUACAGCAAUGGAAAUGUAUACAUUUUACAGAUAUGAACAAUGAAAUAACAGAAAAUUACUAACAGGAAAAAAAAACAAGGCUGGGAACUAGGAUGUCUGGGUGUGUUGAAACACCUCCUGCAAAAGGCAGAAAUGACAAAAUAUAUUCUAAAUAUCAACUUGUUAAAACACUUUAGACACUAUUCCUGUUAUUUCUUUAAGAAAAAAAUAUUAGGACAUAUUAUAAUAACAAUUUUGGGGAGCAUUAAAAUCUUGCACCUAGAUGAAAGUAACUUUAAGAAGUAAUUUGACAUUAAUCCCUCGGAUGCAACAGGGAACUUGACUUUGUGGUGCAUGGACUGGUGUAUGUAUGGAUCAGAAUCAGAAUACUUUAUUAAUCCUUAAGAAAAUAAUUUAAGUGCAUGUAUUUGCUUUUCUACUCACUCUCAGUAGAUUGCUUUCUUAUACUUCAAGGCUUGGGGGAUAAGGAGGUAAUUUAGGACUCAGGAUCUAUGACACACAGUUUAAGUGGAGCCAUGGAUCAAACCACCAACCUUGCCACUAGCAGAUGGUCUGCUCUACCCACUAAGCCACACAGGACUUUAAAAUAUUAAGUUAACUUUGUGCGAAUAGCCUUAAAUUACAUGUCUUGACUGCUGUCCUAAGAGUUGCAAGACUGGAAUACUUGAACUCUCUGUGUAUCUGUGACAUUUUUUGUCUGCUGAUUCUUGUCUGCUGUGUACACAGGAGUGUGGUAGUCCCCUCCAGAUCUGUGCAGACACACACACACACACACACACACACAGAGACACUUCAACACUCCCUUCCCACGGCUCUGACUAUAAAUGCUGUUUGUUAUAAUUGUAUACCACAGGAUGGAUUACGAGUUCUGCUUGUUUGUUGUGUUUUGCUCAUUCUCCAUCACUUACUGUAUCAACAAAAUGUUUACUUCUCUUUGUAGCUCUGUUUUACAGAUCCUUUUUCUUCUGUUCAACCGUUUGUUUCACUUUGUACUUUUGCUACUCAGGCUUCUUAAAUUGUGCUCUUCAGCAGUCAAUAUAUGCCAUUUAAUAAUGUGUGUAAUAUAUUUAUGACAUCAAAUGGAUAGAAAUGAAUAAAACUGUCAUUUAGGAA
Molecule: RNA transcript, 5116 nt
Organism: Oreochromis niloticus (Nile tilapia)
Lineage: Eukaryota; Metazoa; Chordata; Actinopteri; Cichliformes; Cichlidae
Exons: 3
Source: RefSeq, a predicted model, not a curated record